Molecule: long non-coding RNA, 1531 nt
Organism: Acipenser ruthenus (sterlet)
Lineage: Eukaryota; Metazoa; Chordata; Actinopteri; Acipenseriformes; Acipenseridae
Exons: 4
Source: RefSeq, a predicted model, not a curated record
GCCAGUUCCACUUAGAACCAUUUCUUAAGUACUUGCAGAAUAUUUUAAAAAUAUUUUCCACUCAGCAAGGCAAUCCAAUUAAUUGAAUAGUUUGCAGAGGAACAAAAUAGCACAUACUGUUAUUGCAGAAGUGGGUUUGUUUUUUUGUGAAUCAAUCCCACUCUAAAUCCAGGGAUCGUGUGAUGUGUUAUAAACUGAAGAGAAUGGCGGGUUAACCAUCUCAAUGAUGUGUUUCUCAGCCUUGUCGUAUUCUUCCUUGUACAGCUUUAUCACAACGCUCUUAUUGUAGUCAUGAAAGAGAUUGUAUUUUCCUGUAUACAUAACCGGUCUACCAUUAAUAACACUGCUAUGGCCAUACCCAGUCACAUUUUGUUUGAUAUCAUGGCAGACUAAACACUGAGUUUGUCUUUCUAAACACGCACUAUGUUUAGCCCUCCACGCAGCGCGUGCUUUUUCAGUUGUUCUCUGAGCAGAGGCUCACGGGUGCCAGAGGGUGUUCACAAUUUUACCUGAGACGAUUAGUGAAGGAGGAGAGAAAAUCGCAGGAGUUGAGGAAACUUUUUCAAAGCUUGAAAAACAUUUAAAAAGGAACAUCUUUCAAAGAAAACACUAUGCUGUUGCCAUCAGAUGGGUCACUUGAAGAUGAGCACAGUAUUGAGGCCCACAUGAGGUUCCUCUAAGAGGAGCACCAGAAGGCUCGACCAAUUAUGCUCAAAUGAUUGACAGCCCAUUAUCAUCGAGCCAGUCUAAAGGACACUUCAAUCAUGGAAACUAUAGUACAAUAUCCAUGGUUAAAAUGCUUAAAUUAGACUGUGGACCAAAUAAAGAUCCUGUUGAAGCGAAAUGGGCCUCGGUCCAUGUUGAUGGACAAGAAGGUGUGCAGGAUGGCAAUGGCAGUAUAGAGGUGACAUAUGCCUUUUAGCAGUUCAGUUAGUUUAUGGGUUGGAAUAUGGCAAAUGUAUUCAAAAUACUCUACGCUUCCUUAAACAUUUUUUUAUGUCACAUACCUGGGCAACCAAAAGUACCAACCACUUGUGUUAGUUAGUGUGUACAAUAUGCUGAAGUGAUUUUUUUUUUUUUUAAAGAUUGAUAAAAUUUUAGUAUGUUCAAAUGUUUCCUCCGAAUAUUUUAUUAAGUUGAGAUUUGCAGAGAGUUUUUAUCUGCUUUAUUAAAUUUGUCUUUUGAGAGAUUUUGAAUUAGCAGUAUGGUUUCAUUUUAAUUCUGUGGCUUUAUGUUUAUGUUUUAAUUAUCAGCUAAUCUAAAAAACACUUUGUAUGGACAUAUUAUUAAAUGUGAACAGCUUGUACACACCUAGUUUUUAAACUUGAUAUUAUGAAGUAUGUAUUAUUAAAAUGUUGUAUAGUUGUAAUUUUAGAUGAAAUUGCCAGUGCCUGUUGUAUUUUUAUCAAACGUUAUUACAUGACUAAUGUAUUCUAUCAGGUGUUUAACCCUCUUGGGUUGUAUUUUAUAAAGAUGCCUUGAUUGUCAAAAGCUUUUACAAUGUCAUUUUAACAUGUCUUCAUUGUCAGCU